UGUAACCACAUAGCCAGCUGGGGACUUAGGAAAUAUGGAAUCUUGUGACUCUAGUGAAAAUCCAAGACCAGGAAUCACGUGAUUCUAUACUUUUAUGGAAAAAAGAUGAUUUGGAAGACUGGACUCUAAUUUCAUGUUUGCGUAAAUCCUAAAAUCGUCAAGUUUUCACAGAUGUAAUGCACAGAAUCUCACAUCAUUUGCAAGAUGGAUGAUACCAAUUGGAAAGAAUAGAGGCCGGAUGACAAGGUGUAACUGUCAGAAUACAGGAAAAGCCAAUAUGAAGCACCAUGUUCCAGUUUCUUCACGGGCAGCUUGUCUCAUCCUCAUCUAUCCCAAUCCCAAAUUGGAUCCCAAAAUGCCUCUUGCAUCCCAAAAGAUUGAAGCCAAACUGAUUUUUCUAAGAUAUGGUUAUCAUUCUACUCAAUUCUUUAACCAGAAUGUGAACCAGCUUGAACAAGGACCCUGGGGAAUGGCAGAGCCUCCAAAUAGAAGCAAUCUAUAUUCCUGAAAGAUGUUCAGAAGAGGAGGUGCCUCCCUGUCUAUGUAUUUCUGGAAUGUUAUGCAAGAGAUAAGUACAGUUCAUUUUUUAAAAAUCUCAAUAUUGGGUCUCUUUGUUUUGGCAGCUAAGCCUGCAACCUAACAAAUAAGUAUUUUAAGUUACAUGGACAAGGCAGGCCUUUCUGAGCAGAGACCAGAGACUAAGAAAGCAGAGAUUGCAGCGAGGCGGUAUGGUAUACUGAGAGUUUUAAAGUAAAGUUAGAGGUAAAAUUUGGGGGCAGGUACUUGUUUUGAGAGGCAAUUCCAGGAAGCACAGAUGAAGGAAUGGGGAAAGAAAGGCGGGGAAAUAGAUAAAAGCAUGCCAGUGAGCAGGUCACCCCUAAGACCAGCAGGAGCUCCAUUCCAUUCAAGAUCCCCUGAGGUACUUUAUGGAGCAUAUCUCAGAAUACUCCCCUUCCUCCAAGAAAUGAGAGACAAGGUGAACCCACCAUCUCCUUCUCCCACAGAGAAUUUUCUCCGGAGGCAUUAAAGACCUGGCACCUUUAAACUUCCCCCUGCAAAAACUGAGCAAGCCCCAGACACAAAUCAGUGGAAGGUCUCAGGCUGACAAGUGUAGAUACCAGAUGUCUGUGGCAG
RNAcentral lists this long non-coding RNA (1134 nucleotides) under Mustela putorius furo (domestic ferret). RNAcentral's name for it is "lncRNA (ENSMPUG00000030031.1)". The record is from RNAcentral. Lineage: Eukaryota; Metazoa; Chordata; Mammalia; Carnivora; Mustelidae.